GAAAUACAUACGAAUUUCAACUUUAUUUAUUUCUCUAUAAAGAUUAUAAAGAUAAGUAGUUUAUGUCAUUGUUGGUAAGAUUUUUAAUGAUAAACCUGUGUGCAAAACAAAUAAAGGAACAUUAACAGUUUAAGUAGCUCCUGUCUUAAACAUUUAUUUAUGUGUUUUGUUCUCUUCCACCCAGAGAGCUGACUGACAGGAGGAAUGUCAGGAUGGGUGUGUACUAAUGGAAAAUGUAAAGAGGAACGCGGAAACUUUCAUCAUCUCUGAAACACAAACACAGUAAACGUAUCUGUUUGACUGGCAUGCAGUUCAACAGCUUAUUAGAUACAUCCUGGAUAGGUCACAGCUGCAGGUUUGAUCUCUCUCCAAACAAUAUUGACUGAACCAACAGCAAAAGAAGAUCCAAACUACACUUCACAUAAACAUCGUCAUGAAUUCCCUUAGUUUCGCUGUUUUGCUUCCACCACGGUAAAAAUCACUUCAUGCACAGCUUUCUCUCUCUCUCUCUCUCUCUCUCUGUGUAUACUCCAAGAACAGUUUCCCGUCUAAAAAUCUGUUUUCUGCAUUAUUCACUUGCUUGUUACGCACAAGUUGUUUACAGCUCUGUCAGACACUGUUUUUUUUCCUUUUACUUACUUCCAAAAAAAGCCCCAUUUCUGCUGUUCAAUGGGCUUCUCAACAAAUUUAAACUUUUUAAAAUUAUGCAAAAUUGCAAACGCUCAGCUGUGUCUCUAAUAAAACCUUUGUAACUUUGCUCUGCUUCACUUCAGCAGCAUCAGGUAAUGUUCAUAUGUUGAUUAAUGGUUUUCUUUCGUUUUUGAUCUACUGCAGAAUAUUUUUACAAAAUCCCAGGCCAGGAAAAUCACCU
This is a long non-coding RNA of Astatotilapia calliptera (eastern happy), 871 nucleotides long. The record is from Ensembl. NCBI's taxonomy places the organism in Eukaryota, Metazoa, Chordata, Actinopteri, Cichliformes, Cichlidae.